This 253-nucleotide ribosomal RNA is filed under the name uncultured bacterium. RNAcentral describes it as "partial 16S ribosomal RNA". It matches the Rfam family "Bacterial small subunit ribosomal RNA", at positions 524 to 776 of the family's 1533-position model. The record is from RNAcentral.
UACAGAGGUCUCAAGCGUUGUUCGGAUUCAUUGGGCGUAAAGGGUGCGUAGGCGGCGCGGUAAGUCGGGUGUGAAAUCUUGGAGCUUAACUCCGAAACUGCAUUCGAUACUGCCGUACUUGAGGACUGGAGAGGAGACUGGAAUUUACGGUGUAGCGGUGAAAUGCGUAGAUAUCGUAAGGAAGACCAGUGGCGAAGGCGGUUCUCUGGGCCUUACCUGACGCUGAGGAGCGAAAGCGUGGGGAGCGAACAGG